Molecule: ribosomal RNA, 492 nt
Filed under: uncultured bacterium
Lineage: Bacteria
Description: partial 16S ribosomal RNA
Rfam family: Bacterial small subunit ribosomal RNA
Source: RNAcentral
AGUGAACGCUGGCGGUAGGCCUAACACAUGCAAGUCGAACGGCAGCACAGUAAGAGCUUGCUCUUACGGGUGGCGAGUGGCGGACGGGUGAGGAAUACAUCGGAAUCUACUUUUUCGUGGGGGAUAACGUAGGGAAACUUACGCUAAUACCGCAUACGACCUACGGGUGAAAGCAGGGGAUCUUCGGACCUUGCGCGAUUGAAUGAGCCGAUGUCGAAUUAGCUAGUUGGCGGGGUAAAGGCCCACCAAGGCGACGAUCCGUAGCUGGUCUGAGAGGAUGAUCAGCCACACUGGAACUGAGACACGGUCCAGACUCCUACGGGAGGCAGCAGUGGGGAAUAUUGGACAAUGGGCGCAAGCCUGAUCCAGCCAUACCGCGUGGGUGAAGAAGGCCUUCGGGUUGUAAAGCCCUUUUGUUGGGAAAGAAAAGCAGCAGGUUAAUACCCCGCUGUUCUGACGGUACCAAAAGAAUAAGCACCGGCUAACUUCGUG